GUGGGUAGAGCUCAGUGGUAGAGCACAUGUUUAGCAUGCAUGAGGUCCUGGGUUCAAUCCCCAGCACUUCCA
RNAcentral lists this transfer RNA (72 nucleotides) under Camelus bactrianus (Bactrian camel). It matches the Rfam family "tRNA". Rfam says of the family: Transfer RNA (tRNA) molecules are approximately 80 nucleotides in length. Their secondary structure includes four short double-helical elements and three loops (D, anti-codon, and T loops). Lineage: Eukaryota; Metazoa; Chordata; Mammalia; Artiodactyla; Camelidae. The record is from Rfam by way of RNAcentral. RNAcentral also lists the same sequence under 2 other names.